UUUCAUUGGAGAGUUUGAUCCUGGCUCAGGACGAACGCUGGCGGCGUGCUUAACACAUGCAAGUCGAACGGAAAGGCCCCUUUGGGGGUACUCGAGUGGCGAACGGGUGAGUAACACGUGAGUAACCUGCCCUUGACUUCGGGAUAACUUCAGGAAACUGGGGCUAAUACCGGAUAGGAAUCCUUGCUGCAUGGUGGGGGUUGGAAAGCUUCGGCGGUUUUGGAUGGACUCGCGGCUUAUCAGCUUGUUGGUGGGGUAGUGGCUUACCAAGGCUUUGACGGGUAGCCGGCCUGAGAGGGCGACCGGCCACAUUGGGACUGAGAUACGGCCCAGACUCCUACGGGAGGCAGCAGUGGGGAAUAUUGCACAAUGGGCGGAAGCCUGAUGCAGCAACGCCGCGUGCGGGAUGACGGCCUUCGGGUUGUAAACCGCUUUCAGCAGGGGCGAAGCUUGUGGUGACGGUACCUGCAGAAG
RNAcentral lists this ribosomal RNA (474 nucleotides) under Cutibacterium avidum. RNAcentral describes it as "bacterial SSU rRNA". It matches the Rfam family "Bacterial small subunit ribosomal RNA", at positions 1 to 487 of the family's 1533-position model. Lineage: Bacteria; Bacillati; Actinomycetota; Actinomycetes; Propionibacteriales; Propionibacteriaceae. The record is from RNAcentral.